UACGUAGGGUGCGAGCGUUAAUCGGAAUUACUGGGCGUAAAGCGUGCGCAGGCGGUUUUGCAAGCCGGAUGUGAAAUCCCCGGGCUUAACCUGGGAAUGGCAUUUGGGACUGCAAGGCUGGAGUGCGGCAGAGGAGACUGGAAUUCCUGGUGUAGCAGUGAAAUGCGUAGAUAUCAAGCGGAACACCAGUGGCGAAGGCGAGUCCCUGGACAACUCCUGACACUGAAGCACGAAAGCUAGGGGAGCAAACAGG
RNAcentral lists this ribosomal RNA (253 nucleotides) under uncultured bacterium. RNAcentral describes it as "partial 16S ribosomal RNA". It matches the Rfam family "Bacterial small subunit ribosomal RNA", at positions 524 to 776 of the family's 1533-position model. The record is from RNAcentral.